Molecule: ribosomal RNA, 454 nt
Filed under: uncultured Allobrachymonas sp.
Lineage: Bacteria; Pseudomonadati; Pseudomonadota; Betaproteobacteria; Burkholderiales; Comamonadaceae
Description: bacterial SSU rRNA
Rfam family: Bacterial small subunit ribosomal RNA
Source: RNAcentral
GCACAAGCGGUGGAUGAUGUGGUUUAAUUCGAUGCAACGCGAAAACCUUACCCACCUUUGACAUGGCAGGAAUCCUGAAGAGAUUUGGGAGUGCUCGAAAGAGAACCUGCACACAGGUGCUGCAUGGCUGUCGUCAGCUCGUGUCGUGAGAUGUUGGGUUAAGUCCCGCAACGAGCGCAACCCUUGCCAUUAGUUGCUACGAAAGGGCACUCUAAUGGGACUGCCGGUGACAAACCGGAGGAAGGUGGGGAUGACGUCAAGUCCUCAUGGCCCUUAUAGGUGGGGCUACACACGUCAUACAAUGGCCGGUACAGAGGGUAGCCAACCCGCGAGGGGGAGCCAAUCCCACAAAGCCGGUCGUAGUCCGGAUCGCAGUCUGCAACUCGACUGCGUGAAGUCGGAAUCGCUAGUAAUCGCGGAUCAGCAUGUCGCGGUGAAUACGUUCCCGGGUCUU